This 1731-nucleotide long non-coding RNA is filed under the name Homo sapiens (human). Its description in RNAcentral is "HSALNT0220946". The record is from RNAcentral. Lineage: Eukaryota; Metazoa; Chordata; Mammalia; Primates; Hominidae.
GUAUAAGAUGGCAGCAACAAAUGUGGUUCACGGCUGACUGGUUGGCCUUGGCAGUGACUGAGAAAGUCAAUAUUUAAAAAGCAAUUUUUUUCCCCUCUGGCAAGAAGUGAUGUCAGUGUUGGAAGGAGGGAGGCAUGACAGGCUGGAUGGAACCUGCUUUUGUGAUAUGUGAGAUGUUCUCGAUGUGAAAUCGCUUGAUGAUUUUGUGAUUAAACCCCACGACUGCCUGUUUCUGAUUUUGCUCUGGAGCUCACUGAUAGCUCUGGAACUUGGGAUUUCUGAACACAUGGCCUUCAUCAUUGGGAAAGACUCAGUCUUACUAUGGAAUAUCUUGUGCUGCUUUACAGGCACCAGCUUAAGUCAGCUGAGUAGAAAAUAACAGGUUUCAACACAAACAUCUGUACAGACCUCACUCUGGAGAAAUUACUUUGCGUGGAACCCAGGAAAUUAGUUGGAAGAAUUUGUUCACUGUCUCUUUCAAGUUUUAACAGCUUUACUUAAGAACUCAACUAGCAGAUGAUUUCUUUCCAUUGCUUUCUAAAUCAAUCACAAAUGUCUCUUUGAGAAAAGACCAAUGAAAAUUAAGUAGUAGUAAGAAGAGACACACCAGUGAUUGCAAAGUGGAGAGGCUGGCUUCCCUCUGUUAUGGACUGGAUUCUGUACCCCCAAAUUCAUAGGUAAACCCUAACUCUCAAUGUGAUGGUAUUUGGAGAUAGGGCCUUGAAGGAGAUAAUUGAGGUGAAAGGAAAUCAUAAAGGUGGAGCCCUGAGCCAAUAUGACUAGUGUGCUCAUGAGAAGAGGAAGAGACACCAGGGAUGCGCACACCCAGAGAAAAGGCCAUGGGAGGACACAGCAAAAAGGUGGCCAUCUGCAAGCCAAGGAGAGAGGCCUCAGGAGAAAUCAAACCUGCCGACCCCUUGAUCUUGGACUUCCAGCCACCAGAACUGUGAGAAAAUAAAUGUCUGUAGUUUAAAACCACACGAUCUGUGCUAUUUUGUUAUGACAGCCCUAGCAGACUAAUAUAGCCUCCAAGUUAAGAGCCAAACUUCCUGUGAGUGCCCUGUCAUUGACCAAGUGGCUUCUAGAACCACUUCAGCCCAUGACUCCUCCACCAGACAUUGUCAGUGCGAAGAGAGUUUUAGGGCCACAGCCAUGAAGAGCUUGAAUGAAACCAGCAGAGCGUUGCAGGGCAGCCUCUGUUUGACCUUCCACUCGGGAAGGAUUAAUGGCCAGCCCUUUGUGUUAGGAGAGGAUGCUCUGGCCACAUGCAGCCAGACAUGGGGGAGUGUUGUUUCCCAGUUCCAGUGAUAGGUUGGCCUACGCUGGUCUCAUGCUCACACUUGGUUCUCCUAGGUCACAAGUUAGCAGGAAGUAAGCAGGGGGUCAGGGUAGGGCUAUUAUUGUUGGCUGAAGCAUAGACUAGAGCAAUUGAUCUGUACAGUAUUGGACCCACAUCUAACUCUGGGGCCCCAGUUGUCUUGGCUUUUUCCAGCUUUGAUUUCACUGCCUCUCUGAGAGUCAGUUUUUCCUACUAAUGGAAUGUUUUCAAAGUGAGCUCAAGCCCAUGCUCAGUGGGAAAUUCUUCCCUGAAAUCAUUUGUCACAGAAUCAUUUGGCCAUCUAAGACGUUUAUUAUCCUACUUACUGGCAGUAAGUUUCAUAGAAGAGCACAAGAUACUCUGUAGAUUUUUGUUCCCCUUAAAAAGCUGAUAUUCUAGAAUCUGUCCAACAU